This 27-nucleotide non-coding RNA is filed under the name Drosophila melanogaster (fruit fly). RNAcentral also lists the same sequence under 1 other name. Lineage: Eukaryota; Metazoa; Arthropoda; Insecta; Diptera; Drosophilidae. The record is from RNAcentral.
UAUGAACAACAAUGCCAAGCAACCAGA